Molecule: long non-coding RNA, 235 nt
Filed under: Phaseolus vulgaris (common bean)
Lineage: Eukaryota; Viridiplantae; Streptophyta; Magnoliopsida; Fabales; Fabaceae
Description: long non-coding RNA (PVUL_LNC000330)
Source: RNAcentral
AGGCCAUCUUCAGUCGCCUCGUGGUCGUCUUCUUCUUCCUCAUGGACUACUUGGGGGGCUUUCCUCUUUGGUUUCCUGAGGAUAAGCUUUUUGCGCUGAUUGGCGGGCUGGGCCUCGGGAGGAGUUGGGCCUUUGGGUGGCGAUCUGCCCUGUGCGGCGGCGAUCUCCACCACCGAGUUUGGCACGGUUUGGGAACCCGAUGCCAACCCGUGGGCUCGAGCGAGCGCCCUCAGUU